UACGUAGGGGGCUAGCGUUGUCCGGAAUCAUUGGGCGUAAAGCGCGCGUAGGCGGCCAGAUAAGUCCGGUGUGAAAGUCACAGGCUCAACCUGUGAAUGCCGCUGGAAACUGUCUGGCUAGAGUCCGGAAGGGGCGAGUGGAGUUCCUGGUGGAGCGGUGAAAUGCGUAGAUAUCAGGAGGAACACCGGUGGCGAAAGCGGCUCACUGGACCGUUACUGACGCUGAGGUGCGAAAGCUAGGGGAGCAAACGGG
RNAcentral lists this ribosomal RNA (253 nucleotides) under uncultured bacterium. Its description in RNAcentral is "partial 16S ribosomal RNA". It matches the Rfam family "Bacterial small subunit ribosomal RNA", at positions 524 to 776 of the family's 1533-position model. The record is from RNAcentral.